Molecule: long non-coding RNA, 6179 nt
Filed under: Sus scrofa (pig)
Lineage: Eukaryota; Metazoa; Chordata; Mammalia; Artiodactyla; Suidae
Description: lncRNA (ENSSSCG00035080486.1)
Source: RNAcentral
UGUUUAACAUGAACAUUGACCCUGAAGGGGUGAUUUUGUUUUUGAAAGAGACAACAUUCCUUUGGAUGAAUAAGUUCAGGUACAUUUGUGGGAAAAACAAAACACCAGCAAAUAUUUCGCUUUAUUGGCAAGCGGUACUUAAUUUUCCUAGGAGAAACAGUUAUAUGGACAAGCUAUAUGUUUUAAGAAGCAUGGACUCCAAAAGACACAAACAAUUCAUUAACUUUUGAUUUACAAACAGUUUUGAGUCAAAAAUUUCCAAUGGCUUCACAACCAGCUAUCAAAAGAAUUCUGUCUGGGAGUUCCCACCGUGGCUUCGCAGAAACGAAUCUGACUUGCAUCCGUAACUAUGUAGGUUUGAUCCCUAGCAUGGCUCAGUGGGUUAAGGACCCAGCGUUGCAGGCCAGCGGCUACAGCUCCAAUUUGACCCCUAACCUGAGAACCUCCAUGUGUAGCAGUUUGGUCCUAAAUAGAUGAAAACAACAACAACAAAGAAUUGUGGGGGGCUACCCGCAAAACCAAAUUAUCCCGAGGUAUUUUAGGGUGCCCAUGGAAGCCACAUCUGCUAGAAAGCUGACCUGAAACCACUGCAGACCAAAAGACCCUGCAGUGGGGUCUUGGUUCACUAUUGUGGCAUGGGUUCAAUCCCUGGCCUUGGAAACUCUACAUGCCUUGGGUGUUGCCCUGCACCCCCAAAAAAAGGAUAAAAAAAAAAGCUUAUAAAGACGGAAAAAGUGAGGCUUGAUGAGAUUUGUUAAGAACAAAUUAACAAAUCAGAAUAAAACAUUUUAUCAAUAGCCUUUAGGUACAAGUACAUAAGGUAUCAUAAAGAAACUGUUGUGGUUAUUCACGUCAAAACAUACGCAAAAUAAAACCUAAACAUUCCAUUUUUGCUUGACUUAAAAUCUAGCCUGCUGAAAAAAAUAGCUUACUUACUUUAAAAUGGUUAUCAUGAAACUAAUUUAAAGUUAGUUCUGUGCUUUUAAAAACAUCCGAUAUUGCUUGGGGGCUGGAGGAGAGGGCUGUAAAAAAGUACAUACGGCCAGCAAAUUCCAGUUCUAGGAAUUUACCCCAAGGAAAUAAUUAGCAGUUAGGAUGGGUUCAAGAGGUUAUCAAUACAGUUUACCACAAGUGUUGAUAGUAGUGAAAAUUGAAAACAGCUUCAAUAUCUAAAUGGUUGAAUGGUUGAAUUAUGGUAUACCCAUUCAGAGAAAUAUUAUGCAAGUGAGAAUAACAUUAUAGAAUUAAAUUUAUUGACACAGAAAGAUUUAUGAGGAGUUCCCGUCGUGGUGCAGCGGAAAUGAACCUGACUAGGAACCGUGAGGUUGCAGAUUCAAUCCCUGGCCUUGCUCAGUGGGUUAAGGAUCCCGCAUUGCCGUGAGCUGUGGUGUAGGUCGCAGACGUGGCUCAGAUCCCGCGUUGCUGUGGCUCUGGUGUAGGCCAGUGGCUACAGCUCCGAUUAGACCCCUGGCCUGGGAACCUCUAUGUGCUGCGGGUGCGGCCCUAAUAAGACAAAAGACAAAAGGCAAAAAAAAAAAAAAAAGAAAAAAGAAAGCAUCAAAAAGACUGAAAAAAAAAAAAAAAUGACAGAUAAUAGGAACUGUGGGUGAGGAUGCAGAGAAACUGGAGCCUUCCUACAUUGCGGGCAGGAAUGUAAAAUAGUGCAGCUGCUUUGGAAAACAAUUUGCCAGUUCCUCAAAAGGUUAGACACGGAGUUACCACAUGACCCAGAAAUCCUACUCCACAGUACCUACCCAAGAAUGAAAAUAUAUGACCAUUCAAAAACUUGUGCCCAAAUGUUCAUAGCAAUAUUAUUCAUAAUAGCACAAAAGGGGAAACAACCCAAAUGGCCACGAAACGAAGAAUGGAUGAACAAAAUGUGGCAUAUCCAUUCCAUGAAAUAGUCAACAAUAAAAAGGAACCAAACACGGAUACAUGCUUCCACAUGCAUGAACCUUGAAAACAUUAUGCUCAGUGAAAGAAUCCAGACACAAAAGACCACGUGCCAUCUGACUCCAUGUAUACGUAAUGUCCAGAACAGGCAGAUCUGCAGACAAAUGUAGAUCAAUGGUUCCCAGGGGCUGGGAGGUUUGCUAGAAAUGGCGAGUGACAGCUGAUGCAUUUGGAGUUUCUACAGGGGACAGUGAAAACAUCAUAAACCCACCUGUGAUGAUGAUUGUGCAAUUCUGUGAAUAUACUAAAAAGCAUUGAAUUGUGUAUUUUAAAUAGGUAAAGUGUAUGACAUAUGAAUUAUAUCUCAAUAAAGCUGUUAAAAUGUUAAUAAAGGUAAUGCCUGGGUAAUAGAAUUAUAGGUUUGUUGUGGUUUUUUGGUUUUUUUCGAUUUAGACUAUACUUUCCAACUUUUUUUUUUUUACAACAAAUAUACUUUGAGAGAUUUGUUUGUUUGUUUGUUUAUAUUUUAUGGCUGCACCAGCAGCAUAUGGAAAUUCCCAGGUCAGGGACUGGAUCCAAGCUGCAGUUGUGGCAACACCAGAUCCUUUAACCCACUGCAGCAGCCAAGGAUCAAACCCACACUUCCACAGCAACCCAAGCUACUGCCAUCAGGUUCUUAAUCCAUGGUGCCACAGCGGGAACUCUGAGAGUUUCUUUUUUUUUUUUCCAAAUCUUCCCAUGUUAUCAUACAGAAGACACCAAACACAAAAGAUUUGAAGAAAAGGAAACCCAUCUUUCCAAUAACAGCAGGAAAGCUGGAAACAACCCAUAGGACCACGGUAGGGUGAUCACUAGGCAAAGCAUGGCUUAUUACCACAUCAACCCUGGUCAGUGAAGAUCCCAGUGACCAACCUGGGGCUGGGCACAAAAGGCCCAAAUGCUUUCUGCGUCAAUGAGGGUUUACUCGGAUGCUACCAAAAGUGACAAAUGCAGUGGUGCACUCAGAACAUUUCCCAAACAGAUCACACGAAACACUGUGAGGAAAAACUGAACAAAGAUACAGAAGACUUUUUUUUACACUGUUUUACUCGCUGUGUGUUUGUACACGAACAAAGAUCAUAAGAAUCAGAAAGGAUGCAAAGACCGUGUGAAAGUAACUUAAAAUUUUAAAAAGUAAUGCAAGCAAGAACCUUAGGAUUUUUUUUUUUUUUAAGUCCUACUUUUCCCAAUCCGUAUCUGGCCUGUUGCACUCAUUUAAAUAUCUCUGGGCAUGUGCUGCUCUGAGGCAGGCAAGUCUGAAACCAACCAUGGGAUAGAGUAAAGAUAAAGAUAGGAGGGAAAAAAAUCCCCAGGCCCUGGGAAACAGAGCCAACCGGCAUGUUUAUUAUUCACAGCCUAUGAUUCACUGUCCCUAUUUUUUCAGCCAGCAUCACACUCUAAUCACAUUGCUAGGUUACAGGCCCCAAGUUAUGUGGCAUAAUAAAAACCAAAUCCAUUAAAAUGAUACAUGAGGCUUUUCUCCCCUAUAUCAUCUCUUCAGGGAGAAUAUUUGAUCCCUGUAAAACAUACACAACAUUGAACCUAAAGAUUACUUUGGAUUCCCAAACCAGAGAGGUUUCCGAUGAAAAUGAAACAGCUAUCCAGUGAUUCUUCAACCCGAGAAAGGGAGUCAACCUUGGAGGCAGGCAAAUACCUACUCCUCCCGCUUCAGGAAUCCUGUCUACCAUCGAACUCCCUCAAGGAUUCCUCUCAUAGACAUUUCCUCCUGCGCUCUGAGAAGCUUUCCUACCGGGAGAGCCUCCUGAGCUGGCGAGUUAAGGAAACAACACAAACACACGUGCACAACUACAGGCUAACUGCAGACGCGCAGUGCACAGAAUGGGAGCGGAACAAAACACUUCUCGCGGCCGCACAGCAAAUACUUGACGUUUCCUGGGAGGAUAAUUCACCCAGGGGAUAACUAACUAUCCGAAUAAGUGAUGAGCAAGACCGUUUCCAGCGAAGACCCCCGUCUCAGACGACAGUCUCGCUGUGUUCCUGAGCGCACGCGGUCCGCGGUUCUCAGCGAUGGUGUCUAUUGCCCUCGACGACCAAAACGUCCGCCGAGUAAAAGAAAUGGCAUAUGCCGUCGCUGCAAGUGCUUUGCCUCACAUGCCACCAACUCUCGGGCACUUGAAAGAAGUGACACCCAAACGCUGUACAGUGAGGACCACAGGGCAGCGAGGAUGUGACAGCCAUGAUGCAACACAAGCCAAGAUCCGGGUCUAGGAAGGAGGGGGAAACCUCGUUGACUGAAUAAGCACAUUCUGGAUUAACCUAAGAAAGCCUCAAGUGCUUCCUAACACCGAGGUAACUGCACUGUGGAUCUGAGAGCCUAGAGUUUCAGCUCGUGGAUGAGUCAAUGUCUGGCUCAGACAUACACUGAAGGAAAAUCAAAAUAUUGCCUCCACUGCACUCCAGUUACUUCAUCAAUCACAAAGAAACAGCAUCACAAAAAUGUUCUUUGCCUAGGCAUAGUAUAACAUUUUAAAAAUGAUGACUUAGGAAAAAAAACACCUUUGGGGGUAGCAAGAAUUCACAUUAUCAUCUAUGAGGUACCAGGUCCCGUCACACGUGUUCGUGUGUUAGCUGUCCCCAUUUCACAGAUCAGGAAACAGAGUCUCCAAGACUCUGAGGGCACGGCUAGCAAGGGACCCGACAGAACUCAGAUUUGCCUCAUUUUACAGCCAGGACCUUCUGCACACCAUCACUGCUGCCCAGCUUAACAGCAAACCCUGCAACAGGUUUCACUUAAGAAUAUUAAAACGAUAAUUCCCACUAUGGCUGAGGAAUUGAAAUUUUUACUAGUAGUCAACUUCGGAGUCAAAUUCGGACCUCUUUCCCUAAAAAGUAGUUACACUAAAACAUAACCUUUUGAUAAGGGUCUGGACUAUUUUACCAUGAACUCAGAGAAGUCUGGAUUUCUAAAUACAAUUUGGAAAUAUUUACAUGAACUGAAACUAUAGUCCUAACUAAAGCUAAAUAGUUUUGGCUCUUUAGCCAAAGUUAUUCAAAAACUAAAACACGAGAAUCCAGUGAAAGAUUAGCAAAUGAAAAGAUGUGGCAAAGAAAACCAUACACACAAAGUCCUGAUGAUAUGGAAGGAAUGACUCUCAGGUCACACAUUUUGGUCAUUCCCUUUACAUUAUUAUUUGUGAACAGAUGCCAGGCAGCAGUUAACCAGCGCAAGAUAAAAUGUUCAAGUUCAAAACCUGACCCUAGUUGUGAAAGUGAAUUUUUUUUCUUAGAUAAGAAACUGAACUUACAUGAGUUUUAUUGUGAAGUGUGUACAAACUUUCCUUAAAAAAAAAAAAAACACGCUGCAUUUGAAAAAGGGGGCCUCACAUUACUUCAGCUGUUUCCAAAUGCUUGUUACCUCAAGAGCAGACUAUUAUUUACCGAAAAUGCACAACCUCGGAAAAGUUCAUGCUGUGGCACUCAGGUACACACGUGCCAAUCCUCCAUCCGGACAUCUGGUACCUGAUAUACCAUAUUAGAAAGUACACAGUGGAGGUCAUUAAACAGAACCUGCUCCAGUGCGCCAUGCCCACAUCCUGAACAAUAGUUUCUUGUUUUGUUUUCUUUCUUUUUUUUUUUUUUUAAACCACUCGCUCAUUUAGGUUCUUCCAGCCAGAAGGGAAAAAAAAGCCAAAUCUGUCCACAAAAUGUCCUCCUAGCCACGGUGCCCAAAUCCACAGCCUGAGUAAAGGCCUGAAAUAGUUAAAUAAAUAGAAGAGCAACCCAGGCUCUUCUCUCCAGAAAAGAAAUGAAAAGACGUUUCAGACAGUCCCAUGGUGCUCUCCCGUGAGGUGGAGACCUUCCGUUUGAAGUUUCCAAGAGGUUUCACCGCUGUCCCAUAUGGGGGUCUUGAAAAACACUCCAACGCCCACCAUUUAACCUACUUCACCAAGGCUUGCUGCCCGAAAGGAAGCCCGCUGCCUCCAAUGCCAAGAAACCUGGAGCAGGUAAGCAGAAUCGAGGUCUGGGCUAAAACUGCUUACCCCCUUCCAGCUGCCUUCAUUUCCCAAAGUUCUUGCAUUUUGGAAAGUUCAAACGCGGAUAAUAAAUGCAACACAUUCUCUCCCCCUUGAUUACAGGGCCCGUUCUGCCCUUUCUCCGCGGCCACCGCCAGGCAGGGCAGGCGCCCACCUGUGGGAAGGGUCCGGCAGGUGGGGCGGCUCCCAAGGGUCCCGGGCCUUCCGGAGACAAGAGGUGCCGCUGGGGCGACACAAAGUUGCGCCAGAGAG